GACUUAUACAAAAAGAAGUUCAUUUGGGAUUUGUUCAGACUGCAGUCCAGGAAAAAAACAAAUUCAAGUAGCCCUUGAACUGUGUUUCUGUUGCUAAAAGGGAGAAGGAAGGUUUUGUGGUUGUGGCUAAUAAGGGCAAAGAAAACAAAAGGAGGGAACAUCCUUUAACAAAUUCCAGGCACAAGGUAAUCAUCAGAGUGAGAGUUGGUUGAAACAGCCAUUACACUUAGGAAUGUGGUGGAUGACUCUGAUAGGAAUGAGGUCUCUGUCCUGAUAAUCUAAUCAUCCUUGAAAAUGAGUUCUCUGUCUCGAUAAUCUUAUCAUCCUUGAGAAGUCUUGCAGACAUCUUUUAGUCAUCUGAUGAGUUCAAGAGUUCUUUCUGAAGGAGAAAUUUGUUCCUCUCCUCUUCAUGUCUGUCUAGCUCCAUUUUAGUACCUUAACAUAAGAGACUCCACCUUUUUUCAAUUCCACAUUUGAUAUGUUAAAUUACAUGGGAAGCAUUGUCAAAUAAGAAGUAACAUUAAGCCAUCUUUAUAGUGUAUUUGCAUAGGUACAUAAGUGUUCUAGAAAUUAUGUGAAAUUCCUCAAAAUAUGAUAUGUCCUAUUAUAAUGGUAUCAGUCAUAAUUCUAGUUAUCUUAAAAUGUUGUAUGUCACAGAAGUAUCCAAAUUUCUCUGUCAAUUGCAUUAUAAUGAGUCAUUUUUAAGUCUUUUGUCAUUUAUAGUUACUCUGAUGUUUUUGCAAAAAUACUUCAUAGAAAGGAAACUCAUAAAGCUGAACUGGGUCUCUGUCAUCAAAAUUGAAGCUCACACUAAAAAGACUGAACCUAAAUAUCAGGAAAAUGCCCCAGCUGACUUUCAUGCAAAGGCAGCAACAACAGAAUCUAUAAAGGACACCAUCAGAAACAUUGGUCAUAUUACCAAGGCUUUGACUGGAAUAUCAUGUUUGAGAGAAACACAAACUCAGAUAUGACCAAACAGCUUUAAGGAACUAAAGUUGGCUCUAUGAAGCCAAUAAACCCUCUUGGAAAAAUAGUCUAGUACCUAAUUUACAUAGUUCCUGACAGCCUAACCAGACCUAACUUUGGGAGCUCAUCUGCAUCAUGACCUCCUGAAAUGAGACACAACUGUUUAACAGAAGUGACCUAUUUUCAAGACUAAAAGAUCAAUUCAAUGCAACUUUUAAUAUGCAAAACUUCCAGGGAAGUUUGAGAGAAGGGAACUGUUGGAGUCCAGGGCAGACCACUCCAAAAUAUCCCACAAUGGCAUAUGGUUUAUUUUGAGUUAAAGUUACUUGAGAAUCUGCUGAGGUGAAAAAAAGAAAAAAAAUUUUUGACGCUCCUCUCUCUGUUCCCCCUGAAAGCAGGAAAUAAAUCUCCCAUAUGAAAGGUGCUCCCCCUACAUCCUUAUCACCAGAGCUAGGGAAUUCAGGCCUGAGAAACCUGUAUAAACAAAUCAUGUUACUUUUAGAAACUUAAUACCUCAAGCCUAAAAUGUUUAAGCUCAUCUCUUAUUAUGUACCCUAAACCUAAUUUUCUUUGUCCCGUCAUUCCUCACAAAUUUAUUGUUCCUUUGUGUAAAAAGAUAUACAAACAGUCUGCUUUGCCCAUAUGGAGAGCAUCUUUUUAUGAUCUCCAAUACAUACAUAUUAAAUUGAUUUUUCUUCUGUUCAUCUGGUCUUGUGUCAAUUGUAUUAUUAGUCCAGCCAUAAGAACUCAAAAGAGUUAGAAGAGGGGAAAUUUCUCCUCCUCCCAAAAAUAUUUUAUGUCAGAAUUAAAUUUGUU
This 1782-nucleotide long non-coding RNA is filed under the name Equus caballus (horse). RNAcentral describes it as "lncRNA (ENSECAG00000055031.1)". The record is from RNAcentral. Lineage: Eukaryota; Metazoa; Chordata; Mammalia; Perissodactyla; Equidae.